RNAcentral lists this transfer RNA (87 nucleotides) under uncultured marine phage. RNAcentral describes it as "tRNA-Thr". It matches the Rfam family "tRNA". Rfam says of the family: Transfer RNA (tRNA) molecules are approximately 80 nucleotides in length. Their secondary structure includes four short double-helical elements and three loops (D, anti-codon, and T loops). The record is from RNAcentral.
GCUGGUAUCGCUUAGUCUGGUCGAUAGCACUCGCCUUGUAAGCGAGAACCGAAAGGUCGUCGGGGGUUCAAAUCCCUCUACCAGCUC